Molecule: long non-coding RNA, 2868 nt
Organism: Denticeps clupeoides (denticle herring)
Lineage: Eukaryota; Metazoa; Chordata; Actinopteri; Clupeiformes; Denticipitidae
Source: Ensembl
UCAGAAUCUACAGAAACAGCGGCGCCUGUCUUGUGUUGUGGACUGUUUUGCCUGUAAUUCUGUACAAUACGCGCAGGCAUAUCUCAUGAUCGCAUUGAUCGAUUUGAAUGGUUUGUUUUAAUCGUCUGAGCCUGUAGAAUUGUGGGAGCAUUUGUGGAAAUAACACCAUUCACCACACACCAUACGUGCGGGCAUGAAGGCUGUGUUACGGUAUGUUACGUCCCUGGUCUAGGGUCAGGGACAUAACAAAUGGGACAUAGGAGCAGCAACAACACUUAUGGCUAACCGUUUAUUACAAACAAGGACAUUGAAACAACAAAACACACACAAAACAGGUCUGGGCAGUCUAAGUUAUUCUUGUCUUCUGGUCACAAUCCUUCUUGCUUCACACCAACACUCUCUUCGCAUCACCAACAACACUCUCUCCUCACACCACAUCCUCCUCUUGUCCCAAAGCAGACGCCAUUUUGAGUCCUCUUCCCUAUUACAGCCCACCAAUCAUGGCAGGAAGUGGGAGGAGUCCAAUCAUGGAGCCACCUGCAACAUUACGGAGAGAGAGAGAGAGAGACACACAAAGACAUGGUCAAGCAGAGUUUUUUGGAUGAUGAGUCUCAGCUUGUGGAGAAACUACAGCAGCAGAUGCUGGAUCAGGAAGAGCUUUCAAAUGCUAAUGAGGAGGAGAGAGGCGGGAUGAGGAGGGGAGCGACCUAUAGAAGUUGAGGGGACAUUAGUGGAAAUGACAUCAUCACACCAUUCACCAAUUACAAUGUCUGGUGCAGACAGUUUUAAUUCUAUUCAUUAUUCUAAAAUCACUGUUUUUACAGCCUUUUGCAUGAAGUAACUAAACAAAUACAUUUGUGCUCAUUUUCAGAGAGCAACUGCAAUGAUGACAUAAGGGAACAAAUUCCAGAUCAGACUGUUUGAACUGCCGCUCUCUUCUUCAUCAUCUGGAAACGACUCUCUUGCUGCUCAUUUUUCUGUUCCAGCAACAUCCUGAGUGUCGCAGAUAUGCUGGACAAUCUAGGGAUAAACUAAACAUCUAGGUCACCAUCCCACAUGCCUCACAUCCUCUUUGCAUUGUGGUCUAUCCAUAUCAGCUAUGGCUCAUGUUUUUCUUCAGCCAAUUAACAUUUAUUUGUUCAAUUUCAGGUCGACACUUUUUUUUGUGAAGUGAUUGUCAAUGUGAAACCACAGCACAGCACAUGGUGACACAACAAAAUGUGUCCUCUGCUUUUAACCAUCACCCUUGGUGAGCGGUGGGCAGCCAGUAGUGCAUGCCUGCAGGAAAGUUCCAUUUGCACUGAGAGAGAAAUUUAAGAAACAAACUUGCAUGCAUGGAAAGUUAUUGAACGUUAUAAAGGAAGAUUGAUGAACUGACUGAUUGGGUGAGAUCUCAUACUGCAGAAGACAAAUGAUGAAUUACAAAUAUGUUUGGAUGCUAGAGAUGCUGUGACGCUAGCUGUGAUUUCUUAUUUUUCCCUUCGACUGCUGUGCAACGUCUCAGAUAGCCAGAGAGCAGGGGGAGAAGUUCUUUUGGGUGUGGAAGAAAGAGGGCAGAGAUGAUCCAUAGAAAGGAAAAGUGAGGAGAAUGUUAGUGGCGGUUUUCAAGGGUAAGGAGAAGAACGAGUCAGAGAUAUGAAAGAUGUGAAAGAGUGCAGGAAGGUGAGACCGAGUGAAGGUUAUGUAGAAUGAGUAAUUAAUGGUGGUCAGUCUUGGAUCCGAUAGGUAAAGUGAGGGUGAAGGACAGAAUGUGGUGGUCAGAGAUGUGAAGUGGAGUGGAAGAAAGGACGGUAGGUGGAGAUGGACGAAUGAAGACCAGGUCCAGGUCCAUUCCCUUUCCUCUUUUGUUGCUGUUGGCCCAGGAUAAAGAGUGGAGAUUAAUGAGGCCCAAUAUAUGGUGCGAGGCAUGUAAGACAUAAAAUAUCCGUACAGGUUGCAUCAACAGAAAAAACUGCUCACAUUCCCUUUAAAUGUUAGUUACUUUUACCUGAGCAUGCAUGUCUUACGAAUAAGUGAAGCGCUAUAAUAAAAUUUCAUACUGCAUCACAUGAACUAAUAUAAAGUUAUUCCGUCAGGUGUUUGUUUUUUUUCUAGCAAACUCCAUGCAGGAUUUCAUGUGUCUUGCUCCGAGGAGAGGCUUUUGUCGGGCCACUCUUCCAUAAAGCACUGUAUAUGGAGAAGAUCCGUAGAGAGGAUCGUGAGGUCCUGGACGUAGCUGAGUUGGUCACUGUAACAUGGAUGAGAUGCUGCUGCUGGGGUCUCUGCUGUCUCCCACAGUGAAAACCCUCAGGUCUAGCAGAACUACAUGAUGGACCUCCUCCCUCCUGCUGUAAUCCAAGACAAGUUGACAAGUUAGGCCUUAUCAGGCUUCUUAGUUUUUGUAACCUCAAAAUCAAUAGAAAUCGAACGAGAAUUGCUGGUGUCUUCCUCCUGUAAGUCGCUUUGGAUAAAAGCGUCUGCAAAAUAAAGUAAAGUAAAGUAAAGUAAUCCUCCACUUGACAUAGGAACAGGCCAGUUGAUGUUCAAACUCACUGGCGUUUAAAACUCUUCAGCGUUUACAGCGGUGAUCCCCUAAUUCUUUAUCCCCCUAAUUACAGAAUUUCAAUAAUCAACCAAUGUCAGUAUGUAACUUAAUCGUUCAAAUGUUACAUGAAGCACCAGGUUCCGGAGAAACGUUAUUUCCUUUCACUAUGUACUGUCUUAACAUGUAUAUAGCUGAAAUGAGAAUAAAGCUCAACUUCAACUUCAAUGUAGUUGCAUUCAGUGACAUGUAAGUUCUGUAUGUUACUUUAUAGUUUUAUUGUGGCAUCAGGAUGAUAAGACAGGAGAUGCUUCAGUCGUCUUGAGGUCCGCAGAUGGAGCCAACAG